RNAcentral lists this transfer RNA (65 nucleotides) under Deronectes moestus. RNAcentral's name for it is "tRNA-Arg". The record is from RNAcentral. Lineage: Eukaryota; Metazoa; Arthropoda; Insecta; Coleoptera; Dytiscidae.
AAAUAAGAAGUAAAUAUUACAUUUAGUUUCGACCUAAAAUUUGGUGAUAAUAACACCCUUAUUUA